AUUGAACGCUGGCGGCAUGCCUAACACAUGCAAGUCGAGCGGAUGAAUGGAGCUUUCUCCUGGAUUCAGCGGCGGACGGGCGAGUAAUUCCUAGGAAUCUGCCUGGUAGUUGGGGAUAACGUCCGUUAACGGGCGCUAAUACCGCAUACGUCCUGAUGUAGAAAGUGGGGGAUCUUUGGACCUCACGCUAUCAGAUGACCCUAGGUCGGAUUAGCUAGUUGGUUGGGUAAAGGCCUACCAAGGCGACGAUCCGUAACUGGUCUGAGAGGAUGAUCAGUCACACUGGAACUGAGACACGGUCCAGACUCCUACGGGAGGCAGCAGUGGGGAAUAUUGGACAAUGGGCGAAAGCCUGAUGCAGCCAUGCCGCGUGUGUGAAGAAGGUCUUCGGAUUGUAAAGCACUUUUAGUAGGGAGGAAGGGAAGUGUGUUAAUACCUUGCUGUUUUGACGUUACCAACAGAAUAAGCAACGGCUAACUUCGUG
RNAcentral lists this ribosomal RNA (484 nucleotides) under uncultured bacterium. RNAcentral describes it as "partial 16S ribosomal RNA". It matches the Rfam family "Bacterial small subunit ribosomal RNA", at positions 30 to 507 of the family's 1533-position model. The record is from RNAcentral.